GGCGGCGUGCCUAAUACAUGCAAGUCGAGCGAAGAUUUGAAAAGCUUGCUUUUCAAAACUUAGCGGCGGACGGGUGAGUAACACGUGGGCAACCUGCCCUUGAGACGGGGAUAACUCCGGGAAACCGGAGCUAAUACCGGAUAAUACAUAUCUUCGCAUGAUGAUAUGUUAGAAGGUGGCUUUUCGCUACCACUCAAGGAUGGGCCCGCGGCGCAUUAGCUAGUUGGUGAGGUAACGGCUCACCAAGGCGACGAUGCGUAGCCGACCUGAGAGGGUGAUCGGCCACACUGGGACUGAGACACGGCCCAGACUCCUACGGGAGGCAGCAGUAGGGAAUCUUCCGCAAUGGACGAAAGUCUGACGGAGCAACGCCGCGUGAGUGAUGAAGGUUUUCGGAUCGUAAAGCUCUGUUGUUAGGGAAGAACAAGUACCUGUUAAAUAAGCAGGUACCUUGACGGUACCUAACCAGAAAGCCACGGCUAACUACGUGCCAGCAGCCGCGGUAAUACGUAGGUGGCAAGCGUUGUCCGGAAUUAUUGGGCGUAAAGCGCGCGCAGGCGGUUCCUUAAGUCUGAUGUGAAAGCCCACGGCUCAACCGUGGAGGGUCAUUGGAAACUGGGGAACUUGAGUGCAGAAGAGGAGAGCGGAAUUCCACGUGUAGCGGUGAAAUGCGUAGAGAUGUGGAGGAACACCAGUGGCGAAGGCGGCUCUCUGGUCUGUAACUGACGCUGAGGCGCGAAAGCGUGGGGAGCGAACAGGAUUAGAUACCCUGGUAGUCCACGCCGUAAACGAUGAGUGCUAAGUGUUAGAGGGUUUCCGCCCUUUAGUGCUGCAGCAAACGCAUUAAGCA
This 850-nucleotide ribosomal RNA is filed under the name Bacillus sp. RKEM 720. Its description in RNAcentral is "bacterial SSU rRNA". It matches the Rfam family "Bacterial small subunit ribosomal RNA", at positions 38 to 866 of the family's 1533-position model. Lineage: Bacteria; Bacillati; Bacillota; Bacilli; Caryophanales; Bacillaceae. The record is from RNAcentral.